UACGUAGGGUGCGAGCGUUAAUCGGAAUUACUGGGCGUAAAGCGUGCGCAGGCGGUUGUACAAGACAGGUGUGAAAUCCCCGGGCUUAACCUGGGAACUGCACUUGUGACUGUAUGACUUGAGUACGGCAGAGGGGGAUGGAAUUCCGCGUGUAGCAGUGAAAUGCGUAGAUAUGCGGAGGAACACCGAUGGCGAAGGCAAUCCCCUGGGCCUGUACUGACGCUCAUGCACGAAAGCGUGGGGAGCAAACAGG
RNAcentral lists this ribosomal RNA (253 nucleotides) under uncultured bacterium. Its description in RNAcentral is "partial 16S ribosomal RNA". It matches the Rfam family "Bacterial small subunit ribosomal RNA", at positions 524 to 776 of the family's 1533-position model. The record is from RNAcentral.